AUCUAAUCAAGGGGACCUAAUCAACCCAUCCUUCCUCCCCCACUCCUCCUUCUCAGAACAAACCCACGUCCUGCCUCUACACAACUUUUCAUGGGAAUUGGCAUCUGAUAAUUAAUAAUUCUUUCUGACUUUGCAGGAGCAGUGUCAACCUCUGACCUACUUCACAGAAAGAGGUAAAGCUCUGCACUAAGCAACUCAGGAGACCUAAAAGAAGAGGACACCUGAUCAGGGACCAUCAUCUCCACCAGAUGGGCCAUUAAGAUUAGUGAGACAAGUUGUAGAUACUAUCCCCAUUCAGGAGAGAGACACAUGCACGUCCUUGCACAAGAAAAGAGAUUCUUCACCUUCUGCCAUCGUAUUGUCACAGCAGCUCAUGUUUAUUGUGAAUGACAUCUUCAGCUACAACUCAGCAUGAGCUCCAGCAUGCUGGAGCUGAACAUCCUACCAGGAAAAUCAGCGGC
RNAcentral lists this long non-coding RNA (461 nucleotides) under Gallus gallus (chicken). The record is from RNAcentral. Lineage: Eukaryota; Metazoa; Chordata; Aves; Galliformes; Phasianidae.